RNAcentral lists this small nucleolar RNA (136 nucleotides) under Cottoperca gobio. Its description in RNAcentral is "Small nucleolar RNA SNORA13 (ENSCGOG00000001315.1)". It matches the Rfam family "Small nucleolar RNA SNORA13". Rfam says of the family: ACA13 is a member of the H/ACA class of snoRNA that guide the sites of modification of uridines to pseudouridines. Lineage: Eukaryota; Metazoa; Chordata; Actinopteri; Perciformes; Bovichtidae. The record is from Rfam by way of RNAcentral.
UGCCUUUAUGUGUUGCCCAUUCGUUGCUUUCUACAGUGAAUGUGGUGUCAACAAAGGCAUACAGCAAUUUCUUGGAUCGGCCUUAGCAAGGUUCCUCCCCAGUGACCUUGUCUUAAGUUCUAUACCAAAUACAGUU